GUCCUACGGGCGGCUGCAGUCGAGGAUCUUCGGCAAUGGGGGCAACCCUGACCGAGCGACGCCGCGUGUGCGAUGAAGGCCUUCGGGUUGUAAAGCACUGUCGAGGGGGAGAAAAGCGAAAGCUUGAUCUAUCCCUGGAGGAAGCACGGGCUAAGUUCGUGCCAGCAGCCGCGGUAAGACGAACCGUGCGAACGUUGUUCGGAAUCACUGGGCUUAAAGGGCGCGUAGGCGGGCUGCCAAGUCCGGGGUGAAAUCCCACGGCUCAACCGUGGAACUGCCCUGGAUACUGGCGGUCUCGAGGGAGGUAGGGGCUUGCGGAACUAUGCGUGGAGCGGUGAAAUGCGUUGAUAUGCAUAGGAACUCCGGUGGCGAAGGCGGCAAGCUGGACCUCAUCUGACGCUGAGGCGCGAAAGCCAGGGGAGCGAACGGGAUUAGAUACCCUAGUAGUCCGU
Molecule: ribosomal RNA, 452 nt
Filed under: uncultured Gemmata sp.
Lineage: Bacteria; Pseudomonadati; Planctomycetota; Planctomycetia; Gemmatales; Gemmataceae
Description: bacterial SSU rRNA
Rfam family: Bacterial small subunit ribosomal RNA
Source: RNAcentral